RNAcentral lists this long non-coding RNA (755 nucleotides) under Homo sapiens (human). Its description in RNAcentral is "novel transcript". Lineage: Eukaryota; Metazoa; Chordata; Mammalia; Primates; Hominidae. The record is from RNAcentral.
UUCCUUUGCUGACUCUUUUCAGACUCAGCCCACCUGCACCCAGGUGAAAUAAACAGCCAUGUAGCUCACACAACGCCUGUUUGGUGGUCUCUUCACACGGACGCACAUGAAAUUUGGUGCCCUGACUCGGAUCGGGGGACCUCCCUUGGGAGAUCAAUCCCCUGUCCUCCUGUUCUUUGCUCCCUGAGAAAGAUCCACCUAUGACUUCAGGUCCUCAGACUGACCAGCCCAAGGAACAUCUCACCAAUUUUAAAUCAGCGGCCAGGCGUUCCUCCAGAACCUCCUCCCACAGGAACUUGCUACACGUGCUGGAAAUCUGGCAACUGGACCAAGGAAUGCCCGCAGCCCGGGAUUCCUAAGCCGCAUCCCAUCUGUGUGGGACCCCACGGAAAAUCGGACUGUUCAACUCACCUGGCAGCCACUCCCAGAGCCCCUGGAACUCUGGCCCAAGGCUCUCUGACUCCUUCCCAGAUCUUCUCGGCCUAGCGGUUGAAGACUGACACUGCCCAAUCACCUCGGAAGCCCCCUAGACCAUCACGGACGCCGAGCUUCAGGUAACUCUCACAGUGGAAGUUUAUUGCUGUAGAAGCUCCUGUUCCAGCAGCCUGCCAUAUUGCUGAAGGUUUGUGAGACACAGCCUAGAAGUUUGUUAUCAAUCCUCAUUGGUUGAGGCUCCUCCUGCUGUAGUUGAAGACUGUCUACUGCUAAAAGGAGAGAAUAUACUAGAAAGAAAUAAAAUUACUUGAUGUAUUUAA